This 370-nucleotide ribosomal RNA is filed under the name uncultured organism. Its description in RNAcentral is "partial 16S ribosomal RNA". It matches the Rfam family "Bacterial small subunit ribosomal RNA", at positions 527 to 896 of the family's 1533-position model. The record is from RNAcentral.
GUAGGUGGCAAGCGUUGUCCGGAAUUAUUGGGCGUAAAGCGCGCGCAGGCGGUUCUUUAAGUCUGAUGUGAAAGCCCACGGCUCAACCGUGGAGGGUCAUUGGAAACUGGAGAACUUGAGUACAGAAGAGGAAAGCGGAAUUCCACGUGUAGCGGUGAAAUGCGUAGAGAUGUGGAGGAACACCAGUGGCGAAGGCGGCUUUCUGGUCUGUAACUGACGCUGAGGCGCGAAAGCGUGGGGAGCAAACAGGAUUAGAUACCCUGGUAGUCCACGCCGUAAACGAUGAGUGCUAAGUGCUAGGGGGUUUCCGCCCCUUAGUGCUGCAGCUAACGCAUUAAGCACUCCGCCUGGGAGUACGGCCGCAAGGCUG